This 1386-nucleotide long non-coding RNA is filed under the name Homo sapiens (human). RNAcentral's name for it is "HSALNT0101495". The record is from RNAcentral. Lineage: Eukaryota; Metazoa; Chordata; Mammalia; Primates; Hominidae.
CUUGGAGACUCUUUUCCCUACUUAAUUUAGUUGCAUGACUAGAAGUAAUGAGGAGCCUAAGUGAAUUGCAGAUUGGGGCUGAAAAAAAUAGUGCCCUAUCUUCAGAGUAAAUUAGUUUAAAAGUAAGGCCAUGCUUACAUCAGGAUCUCUCCAAUGAAAUAUUGGAAGAAGUCAGGGUUCCAGGGAAUGAAAUGACUUUGGACUCCUUGAAUCGUAAUUGAUUAGUGUAUAUGUGAUCCAUUUUAAGUGGUUCCAGCUAAGUACAAUCCUACUUAUAGAGGUUGUUCAUUUUAAUUUUUCCCUCGAUUAAAUCCCAUUGCCGUGUGAACCUCAUUAUUUCCCUGGACCAUCCUUCCAAUUGCUCCUUUACCUUAAAGAAGAAAUUGAGAUCCUUGUGAAGAUUGUUAGCUUGAAUCACAGUUGUUGUUUAAAGAGGACGGAUGUUGGGGAGAGGAAUGGUUACUGAUUCCCAGAUUUUUUAAAAAUGCAAUGCAAGGAGAAUUCUGAGGAGGGAAGCACAAUGUCUGGAUUCACUAUUUUCCCCUCUCCGGGUGGUGGCUUGAUGAUGAGAAGAUACAACCCUGUCAUCAUCACUCUCUUCUUAGGACUUGCAGCAGAAAGCACUCUUCUCAUUGUAAGCAAGCUUCAUGAAAAUUAGCCUGGAAGAAAGAAGACUGGCAAGAUAUCGGCCAUACUGUUGAAAUUGAACCCUGGGAAACAAAGAUAUGUACAUACCAAAGUCAAACUUUUACUAGGAAGGUUUGGAUUGUCAAGGCUCAGGUGUGAUAUUUCAGUCUUGGUCCUAUUUACUUAGGAUGCAAUUCAGAAGGUUAAAGUUGGCCCUGGGAGAUCCAAUAAAAAAUAUACCUGAGUCCAAAUUAAUCUAGAUCUACAAUUAUUACUUUUAAUUCAUUACUAUUAUGGAUAUAUAUAUAUGUUAGGAAUUAGCAGCAGAGUGAAUCAGUAUGAUAUUUUAAGGAUUAUGCUUUUAUGCUUUUAAAUUUUAGAUAAUACAUUUCCUAAUAUUAAUUUUAAAACACUCUCUUUGCCAUGCUGUUAAGAAUUCUACUUUUUUUUUUUUCAUUUUUAUCUUCCUAACUUCUUAUUGUGACAUUGUUGGCCAGAUCCUAAAUAAUUUUAGAUACAAGCAAAAGUUUCCUUGUAUGAGUGAAUAGAAUGCUAAGUCUCUUUGGAAGUAUAUUUAUACAUUUUAUUGUAAAGUUUAAUUUUGAUUGUGCAUUUGUGUUUGUGCUUUAGAUUUCAGGAUUAUGGUAGCUUUCCUACCCAAGUAUUGGCUGAAACAGCCAAUACCCUUCUUUAAAAAAUUUCUGUAAACAGGUUUCUACACAUUGCUAACAUGAAUAAACAACUUUCCUUCUACCUCCA